GGCAAAUGGGUGGAGGGCGGUACCGUCACUGAGAAAUGGCCUAAGGGCGGAAGAGGAGCAGGUCCGGGAGGAAGGUGCUGAGCUCAAGCCUGGAUGGGCUGAAUUUGGUGAGGGACACCCAGGGUGAGAAGCCAAGCAGAUCGGGGGCUAAGAGGUGAAGUCUGGCUGGAGAUCCGGGAGGCCUGGCACAGAGAUGGAGAUCUCAUUCCACCACAGACAGCACCUGCCCGGACUAAACGACUACUUUCCCAGUCUCCCUUGCAGCUGGGAGUGACCGAUGAAACGUGUGAUGUUUUUUGGUGGGGCUGCCUGGAAAGUUCUAUAAAUGUGGGUGUGGGGAGACAGCUGGGCGGUGCCAUGCUUGACCUUCCACCUUCCUUCUGCCUCCUGCCUGGAGCGAGGCGUGACGGAGGGGGCUCCAGCAGCCAUUUGGUUUAUGAGGGGCCCUGGAGGCUAGAAGCCAGUGCUGGGUAUCCAGUGACAUUGUGGUACCACCACACCAGCCCCGACCACCUGUUUUCACAUUUCUUUCAUGCAAAAGAAAAAACCUAUUAAUCUGUUUAAA
This is a long non-coding RNA of Orcinus orca (killer whale), 565 nucleotides long. RefSeq lists it as uncharacterized. The transcript has 2 exons. The record is from RefSeq and is a predicted model, not a curated record. Lineage: Eukaryota; Metazoa; Chordata; Mammalia; Artiodactyla; Delphinidae.